This is a long non-coding RNA of Columba livia (rock pigeon), 3896 nucleotides long. RefSeq lists it as uncharacterized. NCBI's taxonomy places the organism in Eukaryota, Metazoa, Chordata, Aves, Columbiformes, Columbidae. The record is from RefSeq and is a predicted model, not a curated record. The transcript has 3 exons.
GGCUGAGCAGACGGGCCAGUCCCCGGGGACAACGGCGGCCGUGGCGAAUGGCGCUGCCCCCCGGGGGGGGUGACCCCUGCCCCGGCCCCACGCCCGGUCUGUCCCAGCCCCGCCGCUCGGGCUUUGUCCCCGCCGGCCGCCCCGUCCCUCCUCCCGCCCUCCCCCGCCCUCUCGCCAUCCCUCCGCCGCCGGCUCUGCCUCAACUUUAGAGGCAGGUCCCGGAGGCUCCGGGGAGAGGGAGCGGGACCCGCACCGGCAGCGGGUGGAGACAUCUAGCCUCCGUCCCGGGCCGAGCCUCCUCCCCACCCUGCCAGCCUGGGAAGGAUGUGGCGACUCGGAGCCGACGGCCACCUCGGGCAGCACCGGCCCCAGCGGGGCGAACAGAGGAGAAACCCGCACUUUGCUUUGAUCAAUGUGCUCCAGCAGCAUCUCUCACCAGGCUGGGGAUGGGGUGCAGCAUCCAGAGCCCAGGGGAGGAGCCAGGCCAACGUGGGGAGACCCCAAACCCCGCAGCACCCUCGCCCUGGACACCAAAGGCUGGAGGAGCCCUGUGGGUGCCUUGGAAUGGGCUUUCCUGCCUGCCUGGCAUGGGUUUGCAGUGACAAAGUGAUACGUGACCAUCGGGCACAGGCUGAUUUGGUCACAUCCCUUCACACCUGCGGAGCCUGGUGAGGGACGUUCUCCCCCAGGGAUGCUCGAGACCCCCUCGUCUCUCCCGGUUGGGGGCAGUUUCUGGACACCCCUGGCAUCCCAGCACCUUUCUGCUCGUUACCUCCCAGCCCAAUUAAGCACCGAACCAGCACAGAAACACCCAUCGGCACCAAGGGAUUGAUCUGCUCCACGCCGGGAUCAACUAGGGGCUGGUUUGCUCCAAAUUAAGAGGAUUUAUCAGCAGUGACGGCAAAGCUGGGAAAGGACCAGUUUGGUCCAUUUAUCCCGAGCCAUUUCCCAGAGUCCAGUGAAACAGCCCCAUAAUCUGGUUUCUGCAGGAUGGGGCAGCAGGUGCCUUUGGGGAUGGUGUGUGGGAGCAGCUCCACGUCCCAGGGGACUGAGGGUCCCUGAAGAGCCGCUGGUGUCCAUGCCUGGGUGUCUGGUGAGUUGUUUGGGGGAUUUACUGGAUGUUUUACGCUGUUUUUUCCCCCAAGAAGCGAGGGAGAUGUGAACAUCAGCAACUCCCCAUCACUCGCCAUCCGAUCUGCAUGGAGCGGCUCCUGCUCUUAGCCAGGGGGGAACAGCGGCAUCGGAUUCAAUCAACCAGUUUCUGGAACAUGUGGGAAUAACCGAAACAGCCCAUAUUGGGCUCAUUUCCCACCCGCAGAGAUCCGCCACUUCAGCCCCUUUUUUCAGCAGAGUUUGAAAUAACUCCACAGGAAUUCAUGUUCAUGCCCAGUCCCUUCUCGCCCCAAAUGACCCAUCAAGGAAAAGUUUACCCUCUGUUGGGAUUUUACAAAUCCUGUGCCUUCAGCCGUCCUCUUUUUGUCCCAGAUGUGAAGUUUUCCCUGGUUGAUCUCUUUCCUUUUUUAAAUCAUCUGCUUUGGAGCCCAGGAUGCUUCCUCGAGACAUGAAUGGGCUCCGGGCAGCCCCGAAUCCCCCUUUGGGUACCAGGGCUGCAUCACCCACAGCAUCUCCAGCAGGAGCUUCAGAUGUGAUUUUUGGGCUGUGAACUGGACCCAAAAGCGAGUCAGGGUGUGUUAUUCACAUGAGAGAUGCGAGGGGCAGGACCCGCCGCUCCGCACCCCCAGGGCUAAAGAGCAGCAACUCUCUGGACUAUAAAUUCCCGAAUUCCCUGGAUGCCCCCAGCCCGGCUGUUAUUGAGAUGCAGGGAACAGGGGGAGAAGGUGACCGCCGACUCCAUAAAUAUUAGCAGGGCCGACGGGGCCGGCGGGCGCAGACAAAGCGCCCAUUGAGCCGCCGGCGCGCCGACCCAGCUGCCGCGGGGAGCCGGGAUGGGGGUCAAGGUCAGAGGUGGGCCCUGCUCGGGUUAUUUUUGGCGAUAUGAGGGGUCCAAGCCUCUUUCCUCAUGCCCAUAAAAUUAAUAAAGCGAAUGUGCCCAUGGGGGAUACGGGUGCUGAUGGCGGGAGGGGAAACUGAGGCAGCAUUGCACCAAGGGGACGGUGCUGGUGUCGUUAUCCCCAAGGGACCCUUUUUAUGAGUCUGCUUCAUACCAUAUAUCCCUAUAGAGUUUCAGAUGGGACAUGCCGGUCCCACUGCACAUCGCCAGCGCCCUGUGCCCGGUUCUCCCAGUGCCAGGGGUUUCUCCAGCUGGAUGGAGAACUGGUGGUUUUGGCCCCAUCUGCCCCCCAGGGCUCAACCCGCUACCACACAAACUUGGGUUUUUAGCAAUGUUUUAGUCCCCGUUAAGCAAUCCCUUAGCAACGCCUGUUUCCAUGGCGAAGAGCAGAGAAACCUCUGCGCUGAUGCUGAGCUUUGCCUUAAAUUAUAAUCCAGUUUAUUUUUAUUUGGGUGCUGCCCCAUAGGUCAGGUCCUCAGCACCCAUGGGUGCUGCCCACCCUGGGGUGGGCUAUGGGCGCCCGUUCUGGGCUCUGGGAUGGGCUGGGGGCACAAAACAAGGGGGCUUUACCUGAGAACAGGAGCCUUGCAAAAAUGGGGUUUGGGGGCACACUGUGCAGCCCAAAAGAGCAGCAGCGGGUGGGCUCUGCCCUUCCACCAGCCUGACUUUCCCAAAGGGACACGCGAGUCGCUGGAAAGUCAGGAUUCCUGCAAGAAAAAUCUACAUGGAAAAGCGGUUUCCUUGUUCUUUUUAGUUUGCAAAAAUCCCAGUGACAUCGUGUGCUGCGCUUGGCGCUCGCAAAGAAAUGGGGUUAAUUCCGCUACCUCUGUCCCCGAUGGGAAAACCCUCCGUUUGGGAGCGAUGGCGGGUUCCUGGGAUGGACCCUCCAUGGGGAUGUUCCCCCCGGUGUCCACCCCACAGCCCAGAAUCAGCACUUCUGUGGGUGCGAGACCCCCGGCGGAUCCCACCUGGUGGCUCUGCCCGUCCCCAUCUCCCCGGGAGCCGAAGGGAAUUCUCCCUCCCCGCGCUUUAUUUUGCUGCAAUGGUACCAAAUCCUUGCAGUGGUUCGUGCCCUGAAGAGCCUUAAAAACCUCCCAAAUCUGACAGCCCAAACCAGCUAUUGCUCCGCUUGUUUCCAAGUGUUCACUAGCCCUGAUUUAUUUAUCCUGGUUCUUUGAAUCCAUCACACGCUUUUAAUCCCAAAUCCUAAGCAGAAUGGGAAAACAACCAACCAACCAAACCUGUAUGUGUCGUUUAGAUGCUUUUGCACUUGUUUAAGGAGGUGGGAUUAUGAUUUCUUCUCACCAAAAGUGCCCCCUGUGCGCCGGGGUCCUGGGCAGGGCUGGAAGAGCCAAGAACCCAUUAUUGGGGUUUCCAAGCAUCAGAACCAUGCGGCUCCUCCAGGAAUAUUUUCCCAGCCCCCAAUGUCCCUGUUCGCGGUGGGGGAAACAAAAUGCAGAUUGUUGGGCCAGAAGGAUGAGGCUUCUGGUGCACGGGGGACAUCUGUGGGCAAACCCUUUGGAUUCUUUCCCUGCUGGCUUGCACAGCCCAAAUCUCCCUCCCCGAUGGGAUUUCAGGGCACCUAACGCUGUUCUUGGCCCUCCGUACCUCUGUUUUGGAAAGCUUUGAAAUUUUGGGGGUACUGGAUGUUCCCCCUGGCUUAGGACCAGCCUCUCUGGCACUGAGCACCCACUAGGCUGGGCUUAAAUCCUUCCCAAAGCUGGACAUGAAGAGCAGUGAGGGUGGAUGAGGCUGUGGGCAGAUUAAGGUCCCCCCAUCCUCCUCAGACCCCCAAACCAGGCUCAGUUUUUCUCACGCACACAUGGGAAAGGGGCAGAAAUUAAUCCUUAUGGAAAUGUAUUUAAAUUAAUUCCCUGCCUGGACA